Long non-coding RNA from Lolium rigidum, 1487 nucleotides. RefSeq lists it as uncharacterized. NCBI's taxonomy places the organism in Eukaryota, Viridiplantae, Streptophyta, Magnoliopsida, Poales, Poaceae. The transcript is spliced from 3 exons. The record is from RefSeq and is a predicted model, not a curated record.
GUGUUGCAGAGUUCUCCAAGGUUUCCACCCAAUUGUCUAAGACAACAGAAUUCUUAGGAAUAUAUAUCACUGAAUGCCACCGCAAGAGAAGGUAAGUACUACACGUACGGUUGAUUCAUGAUUAAUUAUUAGAUAUUUUGAUUAAUUAGGUAUGUUUGAUUUCCCUACCCUGUAGUAUCGAAUGAGCCUGGUCUGUCAGUUUCAUCAUUGGGCAUGCUACUUUUUUCUGUAUUUUUGGAUGAUAUUUACCCAGGACUGAUUGUUUGGCCAUGCGGUAUUUGCUCGCUUUAACAGCAUGGGUAUUUCACUGUGCUACCGGCCUAUUUCUUCAACUGUAAGUUUUAUGAAAGUAUGCUCAUCAUGGGAAGCUAGAGCUUUGACUGCUUCCUUAUUUUAAAUUGUACUAUAAGAUUUCACAUGAUACGGGACUACAUGUUUAACUUCUUCCUUGGUACUUUAGUUUUGGUCUUUAGGGCUAUAAGGAGAUCAAUUAUUACUUCAAAUUUUGAAGUGGUGUGGAUAUACUAUAGAUAGAUAUAUAGCAGUAUGACAGUACCUAUGAGCGUGAUAUGUUCAUUUCGGAACUGUUUCGUAAUCUAGGCAUGGAUUUGUUUGGGAAUUGUACAUCCUAUUGGUUUGCUGUUAUCAUUUCCUUGGGUGCAUGUAUUCAGGAGAUUAAAAGUAUAGUUAAUGGUGGCAUUUGGACUUUAUUUUUGCGAUUUAAAAAUUAAAGCAAUGCAUCUAUUACACAUUGGGUCUCAGAUUUCAAUUUGCUUCAGAAUCCAAAUGUGUUACUUACUCAAUCAUGUUUGUUACCCUUCUAACAGGUUCCAAACCAAUCACUUGGCGCAUGAUAUAUGGAAUGAAUGAUAGUUUCGGCUUUCUUUUACUUCUGAAUACACCAGUAGGCCUAAAUCCGGCCAAAAGACCAGCGGAAUUGGUUAUCUAAUUGCUCAAGUGAUACAUUGAAGAGGUUUACAAUGUGAAAACAGUACAGUGAUGAUACACACCUGGGACAUGGAUGAGGUCCACAUGAAGUACUCUGAGAUAGAGAAAAAUGUGUGAUUUAAAAGGUUUGGACGAGUCAAUGAGGCGUUGUUUGCGAGUUAAAAUCUUCAUGAGGAAUUCUCAGGAAAAUUCCGAAUAUAGCAAAGUGGGAAAUUGUGCAUCUUGAAGAAUAAGAUUGGACGCUCAACCAUCCUUUCUGUUUACUUCUUAUUUAGAGUUUUGUCCAUUGUAAUGAUUCUUCUCCCCAGAUCCAAAAUUCUCUGGAUUCUGUGGACUGUAAAUUCCCGAUGUAGAAAGAACAUUAGCAGGGAAUAAUGGUUUGCUCACAAAAUAUGUCAUGUAUUGCAGGUUCGUGCAUAUUGUGGUUAACAAGAAGAUCUAUGUGGUGCAUGCAGUCCAUUCUGAGGACUGCAGAUUGAAAAAGUUCCUGGAAAUUAUUGUAUUUCUCUCAUCGAUUUUGGCACCACCACCGCUGCAGG